GUCUACGGCCAUACCACCCUGAACGCGCCCGAUCUCGUCUGAUCUCGGAAGCUAAGCAGGGUCGGGCCUGGUUAGUACUUGGAUGGGAGACCUAUCUUCUAGAGUGGUUGUGAGGGUC
This 118-nucleotide ribosomal RNA is filed under the name Urocitellus parryii (Arctic ground squirrel). Lineage: Eukaryota; Metazoa; Chordata; Mammalia; Rodentia; Sciuridae. The record is from RNAcentral.